GUUAGGAAUAUUGGACAAUGGGCGCAAGCCUGAUCCAGCCAUGCCGCGUGAGUGAUGAAGGCCUUCGGGUUGUAAAGCUCUUUAGUCCACGAAUAUAAUGACUGUAGUGGAAGAAUAAGCCCCGGCUAACUUCGUGCCAGCAGCCGCGGUAAUACGAAGGGGGCGAGCGUUAUUCGGAAUUACUGGGCGUAAGGCGUGCGUAGGCUGUUUUGUAAGUCAGAAGUGAAAGCCCAGGGCUUAACGCUGGAAUUGCUUUUGAAAAUUCAAGACUCGAAUUCGGGAGAGGAUAGCGGAAUUGUCAGUGUAGCAGUGAAAUGCGUAGAUAUUGACAGGAACACCAGUGGCGCAAGCGGCUAUCUGGACCGAUAUUGACGCUGAGGCACGAAAGCGUGGGGAGCAAACAGGAUUAGAAACCCUAGUAGUCC
RNAcentral lists this ribosomal RNA (425 nucleotides) under uncultured bacterium. RNAcentral's name for it is "partial 16S ribosomal RNA". It matches the Rfam family "Bacterial small subunit ribosomal RNA", at positions 354 to 796 of the family's 1533-position model. The record is from RNAcentral.